GACAAGUCAAAGUCCAACUUGACUGUGGCCACUGCCCAUAGAGGGUGAUAGGCCCGUAAGGCUGUCGGUUGACUGUGGCGACUUUUCCCUCGAGUCGGGUUGCUUGGGAGUGCAGCCCAAAGUGUGAGGUAAACUCCUCAUAAGCCUAAAUAUUACCCUGAGACCGAUAGCAAACAAGUACGGUGACGGAAGAUUGAAAAGAACUUUGAAGAGAGAGUUCAAUAGUACGUGAAACUGUGUGGUGGUAAACGGAGGGGUUCUCGAAGUUUCUGGAGGGAACUCAGCCUUGGAGCGGGGCUGUCUGUCUGUGUCCGAUCAGCAAUGACGGUGCGGCCAGUCAGGCUCUGUUCACGGGUGCAUUUCCCCUUCAGUUUACGGCAGGAACCGUUUAGUGCAGACCUAAGGCUCUGGGUGAAGUUAUAGGCCUAGCUUGUAGCCCCGGAUGUUCUGGCUUUGCGCUAGACGGGUAAUUGAGGAGACUCGUAUAGCGAGCAAUGCUCUGUUGCCGUCUCCAUCUCUCUGCCGAGUAGGUCGGUGGCCCCUCCGACCCGUCUUGAAACACGGACCAAGGAGUCUAACAUGUAUGCGAGCCAUUGAGUUGACUAAACUUAAAGGCGUAGUGAAAGCAAAGAGUAGCUUGCUGCUCGA
RNAcentral lists this ribosomal RNA (648 nucleotides) under Paracalanus indicus. Its description in RNAcentral is "eukaryotic LSU rRNA". It matches the Rfam family "Eukaryotic large subunit ribosomal RNA", at positions 174 to 747 of the family's 3401-position model. The record is from RNAcentral. Lineage: Eukaryota; Metazoa; Arthropoda; Copepoda; Calanoida; Paracalanidae.